This 99-nucleotide small nuclear RNA is filed under the name Castor canadensis (American beaver). Lineage: Eukaryota; Metazoa; Chordata; Mammalia; Rodentia; Castoridae. The record is from RNAcentral.
GUGCCUUGGCAGCACAUAUUCUAAAAUUGGAAAGAUACUGAGAUUACUAUAAUCCUUAUACAAGAGUGACUUGCAUGUUCUGAAGUGUUCCAUAUUUAU